AACUGAAGAGUUUGAUCAUGGCUCAGAUUGAACGCUGGCGGCAGGCUUAACACAUGCAAGUCGAGCGGGGGAAGGUAGCUUGCUACUGGACCUAGCGGCGGACGGGUGAGUAAUGCUUAGGAAUCUGCCUAUUAGUGGGGGACAACAUCUCGAAAGGGAUGCUAAUACCGCAUACGUCCUACGGGAGAAAGCAGGGGAUCUUCGGACCUUGCGCUAAUAGAUGAGCCUAAGUCGGAUU
RNAcentral lists this ribosomal RNA (238 nucleotides) under Acinetobacter baumannii. RNAcentral describes it as "partial 16S ribosomal RNA". It matches the Rfam family "Bacterial small subunit ribosomal RNA", at positions 1 to 242 of the family's 1533-position model. The record is from RNAcentral. Lineage: Bacteria; Pseudomonadati; Pseudomonadota; Gammaproteobacteria; Moraxellales; Moraxellaceae.